AUACGUAGGGAGCGAGCGUUGUCCGGAAUUACUGGGUGUAAAGGGAGCGUAGGCGGGAGUGCAAGUCAGAUGUGAAAUACAUGGGCUCAACCCAUGGGCUGCAUUUGAAACUGCAUUUCUUGAGUGAAGUAGAGGUAAGCGGAAUUCCUGGUGUAGCGGUGAAAUGCGUAGAUAUCAGGAGGAACACCGGUGGCGAAGGCGGCUUACUGGGCUUUUACUGACGCUGAGGCUCAAAAGCGUGGGGAGCAAACAGGAUUAGAUACCCUGGUAGUCCACGCUGUAAACGAUGAUUACUAGGUGUGGGGGGACUGACCCCUUCCGUGCCGCAGUUAACACAAUAAGUAAUCCACCUGGGGAGUACGGCCGCAAGGUUGAAACUCAAAUGAAUUGACGGGG
Molecule: ribosomal RNA, 396 nt
Filed under: uncultured bacterium
Lineage: Bacteria
Description: partial 16S ribosomal RNA
Rfam family: Bacterial small subunit ribosomal RNA
Source: RNAcentral